Molecule: ribosomal RNA, 291 nt
Filed under: uncultured Sandonidae
Lineage: Eukaryota; Cercozoa; Glissomonadida; Viridiraptoridae
Description: partial 18S ribosomal RNA
Rfam family: Eukaryotic small subunit ribosomal RNA (bases 95-291)
Source: RNAcentral
GACUAAUGUGCCUGGCCCGCGGCUCUUUAGGCCUGUGAGUGCCGGUGCGCGUUUACCAUCCUUCGGAACGGUCUACCCUUUACUGGGCCGGAUUGGAUCCAGAUCAUUUACUUUGAAAAAAUUAGAGUGUUUAAAGCAACCAAUUGCCAUGAAUACAUUAGCAUGGAAUAAUAAUCUAGGACUUCGGUUCUAUUUUGUUGGUGAUUGAUAGGGAUAGUUGGGGGUGCUAGUAUUGGCCGGUCAGAGGUGAAAUUCUUGGAUUCGGUCAAGACUAACUUAUGCGAAAGCAUU